AACGAACGCUGGCGGCAUGCCUAACACAUGCAAGUCGAACGAAGCCUUCGGGCUUAGUGGCGCACGGGUGCGUAACGCGUGGGAAUCUGCCCCUUGCUUCGGAAUAACAGUUAGAAAUGACUGCUAAUACCGGAUGAAGUCUUCGGACCAAAGAUUUAUCGGCAAGGGAUGAGCCCGCGUAGGAUUAGGUCGUUGGUAGGGUAAAGGCCUACCAAGCCGACGAUCCUUAGCUGGUCUGAGAGGAUGAUCAGCCACACUGGGACUGAGACACGGCCCAGAAUCCUACGGGAGGGGGCAGUGGGGAAUAUUGGACAAUGGACGCAAGGCUGAUCCAGCAAUGCCGCGUGAGUGAUGAAGGCCUUAGGGUUGUAAAGCUCUUUUACCAGGGAUGAUAAUGACGGUACCUGGAGAAUAAGCUCCGGCUAACUCCGUG
Molecule: ribosomal RNA, 433 nt
Filed under: uncultured bacterium
Lineage: Bacteria
Description: partial 16S ribosomal RNA
Rfam family: Bacterial small subunit ribosomal RNA
Source: RNAcentral